GGGGGUGACAGGCUUCGACGGGGAUCAUGAGGCCAAGGUGGCAUGCCGAGAACCGGGAACUCGUUAAGUCCGGAAAAAAUAAUUGCCAACACAGAACUGGCACUCGCUGCUUAAUUAGCGGUGACGUCCCUCUUCCGCUGCCUGCGCGGGGGAAGGGACGACGAUUGCAGGCUGGCCUGCCGCUGGUGUUCAGCGGCGGCGGGCGAGAAAUACUGAGCUAGCGACUGUUCUAAGCCUGCUGCCGGGCGUGGAUAGAAGCGAAAACCAAAAUCGGCAGAUAAGCAUGUAGAGGCCUUUCGCUGACGGUCUUCGGACGCGGGUUCAAUUCCCGCCACCUCCACCA
This 343-nucleotide transfer-messenger RNA is filed under the name Nitrospirales. Its description in RNAcentral is "NS-11 sp005877525 Standard tmRNA". It matches the Rfam family "transfer-messenger RNA". Rfam says of the family: Bacterial tmRNA, also known as 10Sa RNA or SsrA, is named for its dual tRNA and mRNA-like properties. Lineage: Bacteria; Pseudomonadati; Nitrospirota; Nitrospiria. RNAcentral also lists the same sequence under 2 other names. The record is from RNAcentral.